This 449-nucleotide ribosomal RNA is filed under the name uncultured bacterium. Its description in RNAcentral is "partial 16S ribosomal RNA". It matches the Rfam family "Bacterial small subunit ribosomal RNA", at positions 29 to 523 of the family's 1533-position model. The record is from RNAcentral.
AACGAACGCUGGCGGCAGGCUUAGCACAUGCAAGUCGAACGAGAUCUUCGGAUCUAGUGGCAGACGGGUGAGGAACACGUGGGAACAUUCCUUUCAGUUCGGAAUAACGUUGGGAAACUAACGCUAAUACCGGAUACGUCCUUCGGGAGAAAGAUUUAUCGCUGAAAGAUUGGCCCGCGUCUGAUUAGCUAGUUGGCGAGGUAACGGCUCACCAAGGCUACGAUCAGUAGCUGAUCUGAGAGGAUGAUCAGCCACAUUGGGACUGAGACACGGCCCAAACUCCUACGGGAGGCAGCAGUGGGGAAUAUUGGACAAUGGGCGCAAGCCUGAUCCAGCCAUGCCGCGUGAGUGAUGAAGGCCUUCGGGUUGUAAAGCUCUUUUGUCCGGGAAGAUAAUGACUGUACCGGAAGAAUAAGCCCCGGCAAACUUCGUGCCAGCAGCCGCCGUAA